RNAcentral lists this long non-coding RNA (826 nucleotides) under Prunus persica (peach). RNAcentral's name for it is "long non-coding RNA (PPER_LNC005158)". Lineage: Eukaryota; Viridiplantae; Streptophyta; Magnoliopsida; Rosales; Rosaceae. The record is from RNAcentral.
GCUAAGUUAAUUUUUGUGAUUUGAAGUGUAAUGUCUAAAAAUUUGUACUAAAUUUCAUUUUUCCCGAACAUUGCACUACGCUAGAGCCCACCUUAAUUCUAAUAUGACAGUGCCUAAAAGUUGUGGUUUUUCACUAUUCUUGUUGAAUAAAUAAUGAAGAGGUACUAGCAAAAUUUAAAAAAAAAAUGUACAAAAAAUAUACAUUGUUUAUCGAAUAACAGUGAUGAACAUAUUUUUUUUUAGGUUUAGGUUAAGCAAAUGAGUCACAAUUUGCUCGGAGUUAAAAUCGUUUCAAAGAAGAGAAUCUGGAAUCGUUUUAAAUUCCAAGUGUGUGCAAUUAUAACAGCAAAUAAAAUAUGAAAAAAAGAAAAGAAAAAAAAAACUACGAGUUGCAUGGAAGCUAGUUUGUCGACCGGCUAAACAACAGUCGGUAUGUUACAUAGUUUUGUUUGUUUGUGUUGAGUGUGCCCCAGCUGGUUUUAACUCAUUUAAUUGGUACUUAAAUCUCCACACAAAAAAUAUUUUAGUGUGCUUUAAAAAAAGAAGUCUAAUUUAUUUUCGAAUUCUGAUUUUCUACUAUCCAAUUACUUGUGAUAGUAAAAUCACUGAGAUAAGUUAACAUUCUUAUGUUCUGAAUAUCUAUUUCGUGAAUUGGAUGAUAUAUGUCUGCAUGUGAUUAAUAAUCGUAAUUAAAUAUUUGAUGUUUUAAAAACAACUUAUAUUCGAUUAUGAAACCGAUCGCAAAUAGGUCAUACCCACCCUAACAAUCCUCCAAACAAUUGCGUCCCCUACCCACCAUGGAUGGGCUAUGGGGCAUACAUCAAAC